Long non-coding RNA from Humulus lupulus (European hop), 1359 nucleotides. RefSeq lists it as uncharacterized. The record is from RefSeq and is a predicted model, not a curated record. The transcript is spliced from 4 exons. Lineage: Eukaryota; Viridiplantae; Streptophyta; Magnoliopsida; Rosales; Cannabaceae.
UGUUAGGCUCUCUCUAACCCUUUGAAGCAAAUUAAGCUAAGCUGUCUCUUUCUCCUUUCCACUUCGGUACCUCUUCUCUCAAGGAUAAUUCUUCUCUCUAUUCUCUCAAGUCUCAAUGGUCGCUCUUUACUCUAAACACUGAUUCUGGACGAUUAUGGUGAUCCAUUCCAGCUAGUUGUGUUCUUACAUAAGGUAGAACAAGUUGCAACUACAAAACGUUUAAAGAGAAUUUAAGUUCCAUCUUCACUUUUUUUACUGCCUCUGCUUUGCGUCAAUCUCCAUAGUACUUAAACCCUUUGUUAGAACAUAUUCAAAGUUCAAGGAAGGUCUCUACAUCUACAACAUUCAGUUUGAACAACAUUGGCUUGAAGCUCAUCCUGAACGGUUGGCAAAAGUUAUAGGUUGUGUGCACAGAAGCAAGAAUGUCUGUAUCGAGGGAGAGAAGGAUUCAUGUAACACAGGAAGACUAUGAGAUGGAUGGUAGAGGCCAAGAUAAUGAAGAAAGACACUGAGAAAAACAUGUUCAGCAAGCUUUGUUAGUUUAGACUAGCUAUUUACUUUAAAAGUUUUUUUGUAUUAAUGUAUGAUUGAUUUUCUGAAUGUUUUUUUCUUCUUUGUUUAAACAUAUUUUAUUGGGGAAUUCUCUUAUAGGAGCUUCACUUUAAGCCCUACUGGUGGGGCUCUCUGUGUUCUCGAUCCGCGAACAGUUUUCGGCGUAAUUUUUUUUUUGACAGUAUAUAUUGUAGUUAUUUAGAGCAUCUUGCAAAUUUUCAGAAAAUUCCGAAUAGUUUACAGUACUGAAAACUAGGUUCAAACAUGUUGUUGCACGUGUGACUAAAUUUUUUUAUGCGCGUGGAAAGCAACAUGCUUGAACCUGUUUAAACUUAGUUGUCGAUACUGUAAAUUAUUCAUAAUUUUCAGAAAAUUUGCAGGAUGCUCUAAACAACAACAAUAUACACGGUCAUAAAAAAAAUCGUACCGAAAACUGUUUACGAGUCGAGAAACACUGAGAGUCUCACCGAUAGAACUUAAAAUGAAGACUCUAUAGAAAAACAGUCUAUAUAUAUAUAUAUAUUGAAAAAGUAACUAAGGUGCUAAUCAAAUAAGAACAAGCAGAUAUGAUGAUGAAUUGACCACCAUGCACGUGAUGGAUACACAAGCUCACCACAUGCCUCAAGGAUGGAGUAAAGUUAAUUUUCACUUUCAACCCACUUCUACAGGUUCUUUGUUGGCUGCUCUAACUCUAUUGUACACAUGCAUUCAUUAAACAGUAGAGUAAAGAUAAGAUCAUCAACAAGGGUGGGUGUGUAAAAAUGUCAAAAGAUACGGCUAUAAUAUUUCACGCGUUAUAUUUAAUGU